Molecule: ribosomal RNA, 1365 nt
Filed under: Triticum aestivum (bread wheat)
Lineage: Eukaryota; Viridiplantae; Streptophyta; Magnoliopsida; Poales; Poaceae
Description: partial small subunit ribosomal RNA
Source: RNAcentral
AUGGACGAGGACUUGAUGCAUGCUCUUGUUCAAUUCUCUCAUGCAAGGCGUUUUUGGGAGGAGGCGAGAUUGCUCUUCGAGAUUAACCUGCCACGGCUCCAUCCCAGCACUUGGGCACGUGAUAUCCUUUGUGAUAUCCAAUUUAUAGACAAGGAUCGUGCAACAAUCAUUACUGUCAUGUGGGCUAUCUGGAUGUCUCACAACAAGAGGACACACGAUCAGGAGAUCAUUGAUCCAGCUACCUCGAGCUUCAUACCGCUGCCGGGUCACGGUUGGUGGCCCCCUGAAGCUGACUUUGUAAAGAUCAACAUGGACGCUGCUAUACAUCGCGAUGCCGGCAACCCCGGCGUGGGGGGAGUAGCCCGCUCUUCCUCGGCAUUCCUGGGCGCAUGGUGCAAACCCCACCUGGGGGUCACGGAUCCCUUCAUUGCUGAAGUGCUCUCCUUGCGUGAGGGCGUCAUCUUCACGAAGCUUCGAGGCUACACGCACGUGCGACUGAAAUCCGAUUGUCUCGAGGCAGUUAACCUCUGGAACUCUAGCUACACCGACCGCUCGUAUAAACCAGAAGGGCUUCUUGACAGUGUAAGCUCAUAUGUGUAUGAGAAUGACAGAGCAUCACGUGGUGAGGGGCCAAAGGAGGAUAAACCAUCGACCGCUGCAUUAGUUGAUGCAAACAGCCAGAUAUUUCGUGUGUUGUGGAAGGACGUCGAUGUCCUUCAACUUAGCUCUUCUUCGCUUUUUAUUUUGGUCAUGACUUUAAAACGUUGCGCUCUCUCUCAUGUCCGCCCCGCCACUGCAUCUUCGCCGGCGCGCCUCCCGCCGGCCCCCUGCUACCUCAUUCCAUCUCUUGCCCUCCGCCGCCGUUCUACCCGUCGGCCAACCCAUUCGGCCCCCAUCGCCGUCCCCGGAAUCAAGCAGCCGCCGCAUCCCACCUUGCUUGCGCACCACUGCAGGUCACCCGCCGCUCGUCGGUUCGAUCUAAACCACGUCGGCCGGCUUGUGCACCACCACCGCACCCCAAGUGUUCGAAGAAUCGCCUUGAGACCACGAGCUCUUCUCCAAGCCACCGCUCCGCUCUGCAGGACUCCUCCUGACCCUGCUGCCCCCCUGGAUCUCGGCCCUGCCCGCUGCCAUUGCCUCUGCUGCCACUGCCCUCCCCCCCUGGCCACCUACCUACCUACUGCUACGACUACCACCACACUUGUCUUGAGCCGCUCGGAUUGGAUCGCCUCGGUUCGAGCCCCGUCCGUGCGUCAGCGUGAGUGCUCCCGUUCCUCGAUCGAUUUGUGCUUCUGGCUUUGCUUCUUGUUCUUGAUUUGGUUCCGGUGCCCCUGUUCUGUUCUGUUCCCCGCGAGGAAGAUCUGA